This 24-nucleotide microRNA is filed under the name Ananas comosus (pineapple). RNAcentral's name for it is "microRNA s0096_c044". The record is from RNAcentral. Lineage: Eukaryota; Viridiplantae; Streptophyta; Magnoliopsida; Poales; Bromeliaceae.
CAAAACCGGAACAAAAAAUGACUA